AAUUUUAAGAGUUUGAUCCUGGCUCAGGAUGAACGCUGGCUGUGUGCCUAAUACAUGCAUGUCGAGCGAGGUUCUUUUGAACCUAGCGGCGAAUGGGUGAGUA
RNAcentral lists this ribosomal RNA (103 nucleotides) under Mycoplasmopsis arginini. RNAcentral describes it as "partial 16S ribosomal RNA". It matches the Rfam family "Bacterial small subunit ribosomal RNA", at positions 1 to 112 of the family's 1533-position model. The record is from RNAcentral. Lineage: Bacteria; Bacillati; Mycoplasmatota; Mycoplasmoidales; Metamycoplasmataceae.